AAGUCGUAACAAGGUUUCCGUAGGUGAACCUACAGAAGAAUCAUUACAAGAAACGAGGCUACGUGCCCCGCUCUUUACCUUGCCUACUACACUAUCUGUUACUUCCUAGCGGUGGUUUGCCUGCCGCCAGGGACAUUAUAAAGCCCUGCAUAAGCAUUAAAAAACUGAAACAAACCGAAUCGUACAACUUUCAACAAUGGAUCUCUUGGUUCUA
This 214-nucleotide unclassified non-coding RNA is filed under the name fungal sp. RNAcentral's name for it is "partial internal transcribed spacer region". The stretch from base 1 to 46 matches the Rfam family "Eukaryotic small subunit ribosomal RNA", at positions 1786 to 1831 of the family's 1831-position model. Lineage: Eukaryota; Fungi. The record is from RNAcentral.